AAUCAACGCUGGCGGCGUGCCUCAGACAUGCAAGUCGAACGAGAAAGUUUCCUUCGGGGAAUGAGUAAAGUGGCGCACGGGUGAGUAACACGUAGGUAAUCUACCUUCGGGUGGGGAAUAACCCAGGGAAACUUGGGCUAACACCGCAUAAUGCAGCGGCACCACAUGGUGACAGUUGUUAAAGCGGGGGGAGUUUUAGGACCUCGCGCCUGAAGAGGAGCCUGCGGCGGAUUAGCUAGUUGGUAAGGUAACGGCUUACCAAGGCGACGAUCCGUAACCGGCCUGAGAGGGGCGGGUCGGUCACACUGACACUGACAUAC
Molecule: ribosomal RNA, 320 nt
Filed under: uncultured bacterium
Lineage: Bacteria
Description: bacterial SSU rRNA
Rfam family: Bacterial small subunit ribosomal RNA
Source: RNAcentral